Molecule: long non-coding RNA, 203 nt
Filed under: Elaeis guineensis (African oil palm)
Lineage: Eukaryota; Viridiplantae; Streptophyta; Magnoliopsida; Arecales; Arecaceae
Description: long non-coding RNA (EGUI_LNC081184)
Source: RNAcentral
UUCUUGGUUGUUAUUAGCAGCUCAUCUCUCAUUUCCACUAAAGUGCUGCUAUGUUUGCCCUAGAACCUCUAUAGAAAGGUGAAACACUAUUUUUUAUGUGGAAAACAGGGUGUACAUGGGGGUUUGGAUGUUAAUUUGGGGCCAUAAGGCUAACUCUACCCUUGGCAAUUGAACAGAAACCAUGAGUUGUAGCAAUCUGGGGG